RNAcentral lists this ribosomal RNA (253 nucleotides) under uncultured bacterium. Its description in RNAcentral is "partial 16S ribosomal RNA". It matches the Rfam family "Bacterial small subunit ribosomal RNA", at positions 524 to 776 of the family's 1533-position model. The record is from RNAcentral.
GACGGAGGUCCCUAGCGUUGUUCGGAAUUACUGGGCUUAAAGCGCGUGUAGGCGGAAGGGCAAGUACCUUGUGAAAUCCCCGGGCUCAACCCGGGAAUAGCUGGGUAUACUGCCUUUCUUGAGGCAGGUAGGGGUCACUGGAACCUUAGGUGGAGCGGUGAAAUGCGUAGAUAUCUAAGGGAACGCCUGUGGCGAAAGCGGGUGACUGGGCCUGUCCUGACGCUGAGACGCGAAAGCGUAGGGAGCAAACGGG